AGCAGCCGCGGUAAUUCCAGCUCCAAUAGCGUAUAUUAAAGUUGUUGCAGUUAAAAAGCUCGUAGUUGAAUUUCGGGAUCAAGGAAUCGGUCAUGCCUCGGUAUGUACUGGUUUUAUUGGUUCUCACCUUCUAAAGAACCAUGAUGUCAUUCAUUUGAUGUUAUGGGGAAUUAGGACUGUUACCUUGAAAAAUUAGAGUGUUUAAAGCAGGCUUACGCUUGAAUACAUUAGCAUGGAAUAAUGAAAUAGGACAUCAGAUUCUAUUUUGUUGGUUUCUAGGAUCGAUGUAAUGAUUAAUAGGGAUAGUUGGGGGCAUUAGUAUUCAAUUGUCAGAGGUGAAAUUCUUGGAUUUAUUGAAGACUAACUACUGCGAAAGCAUUUGCCAAGGAUGUUUUCAUUAAUCAAGAACGAAAGUUAGGGGAUCGAAGACGAUCAGAUACCGUCGUAGUCUUAAACCAUAA
This 461-nucleotide unclassified non-coding RNA is filed under the name uncultured Glomus. Its description in RNAcentral is "SSU rRNA". It matches the Rfam family "Eukaryotic small subunit ribosomal RNA", at positions 569 to 1035 of the family's 1831-position model. The record is from RNAcentral. Lineage: Eukaryota; Fungi; Glomeromycota; Glomeromycetes; Glomerales; Glomeraceae.